AAAGGGCUAGAAAUUGGGUAAGUAAUUAAUUAAACCAAAAUAAUAGGUGUAAGAUUUAUAAAUUAUAAAGUGAGACUAAAAUAAAAAGUUUAACAUAAGCUGGUUUUUUGGCUUAAGUUAAAAAACCAUGUAAGAAUUUAUUAUAAUAGUUUAAAGUAUUGAAAAUUAGUAGGUUAAAAAUAAAGGAUAAAUUUGUGCCAGCAUCUGCGGUUAUACUGUAUUUGUGAUCAAAAAUAAUUAGAAAGGCUAUUUAAAGUUUAGUAAAUAAAAUUUUUGGUGAAAUAUUAGUAAGAACAAAUAGACUAAAAUUAAGUCAGGUCAAUUAGAACCAGGAUUAGAGACCCUGUUACUUUAUUAAAGUCUAAGGAAUAAAGUUAUAAAUUAUAUGGUUUGGCGGCUUACUUAAUUUAGAGGAGUUUGCUAUAAAUCGAUAAGCCUCGCUAGUUUUUACCUAAUUUAAUUUUGUACACCAUCAUUUAGUUAAUCUAAUAAAAGAUAGUUAAGACAAGUAGUCAAAUAAAUUAGAUCAAGGUGCAGACAUAAAAAGGUAAUAGUUAAUUACAAUAUUAAGUAAUAAACAGAAUUAACUUAACAAAUAUAAAUAAGUGGAUUUAGUAGUAAUUAGUUAUAUUUGAUUCUAAAAGGUUAGUGUACAAAUUGCCCGUCAAUCUCUUAGGGAUAAGUCGAAACAAAGUAGAAAAACCUGAAGGUUUUUCU
RNAcentral lists this ribosomal RNA (717 nucleotides) under Gammarus pisinnus. RNAcentral describes it as "12S ribosomal RNA". The record is from RNAcentral. Lineage: Eukaryota; Metazoa; Arthropoda; Malacostraca; Amphipoda; Gammaridae.